UCGGGAAUUUUGGGCAAUGGGCGAAAGCCUGACCCAGCAACGCCGCGUGAGGGAUGAAGUAUUUCGGUAUAUAAACCUCGAAAGAAUGGGAAGAAUAAAUGACGGUACCAUUUAUAAGCUCCGGCUAACUACGUGCCAGCAGCCGCGGUAAUACGUAGGGAGCAAGCGUUGUUCGGAUUUACUGGGCGUAAAGGGCGCGUAGGCGGCGCGGUAAGUCACUUGUGAAAUCUCUGAGCUUAACUCAGAACGGCCAAGUGAUACUGCUGUGCUAGAGUGCGGAAGAGGCAACCGGAAUUCUUGGUGUAGCGGUGAAAUGCGUAGAUAUCAAGAGGAACACCUGAGGCGAAGGCGGGUUGCUGGGCCGACACUGACGCUGAUGCGCGAAAGCCAGGGGAGCAAACG
Molecule: ribosomal RNA, 402 nt
Filed under: uncultured bacterium
Lineage: Bacteria
Description: bacterial SSU rRNA
Rfam family: Bacterial small subunit ribosomal RNA
Source: RNAcentral